Molecule: ribosomal RNA, 491 nt
Filed under: Prymnesium parvum
Lineage: Eukaryota; Haptophyta; Prymnesiales; Prymnesiaceae
Description: partial Bacterial large subunit ribosomal RNA
Rfam family: Bacterial large subunit ribosomal RNA
Source: RNAcentral
AGAAGGGCAUUUGGUGGAUGCCUUGGCGCAUAGAGGCGAUGAAGGACGUGUUAGGCUGCGAUAAGCCCGGAGGAGCUGCCAAAGAGCUUUGAUCCCGGGAUGUCCGAAUGGGGAAACCCACCCUUAGGGGUAUCGGCAUCUGAAUACAUAGGAUGUCGAGGCAAACGCGGGGAAUUGAAACAUCUUAGUACCCGUAGGAAAGGAAAUCGAAGAGACUCCGUUAGUAGUGGCGAGCGAACGCGGACCAGGCCAGUGGCCUUUGCGUUGUAACCGGAACCUUCUGGAAAGUUGGGCAUUAUUGGGUGAUAGCCCCGUACGGAAACAGCAACGUAGAGGUCCUUGAGUAGGGCGGGACACGUGAAAUCCUGUCUGAAUAUGGGGCGACCACGCUCCAAGCCUAAGUACUCCCAUGCGACCGAUAGUGAACCAGUACCGUGAGGGAAAGGUGAAAAGCACCCCGAUUAGGGGAGUGAAACAGUACCUGAAACCGG